GUGACUGCGUACCUUUUGUAUAAUGGGUCAGCGACUUAUAUUCUGUAGCAAGGUUAACCGAAUAGGGGAGCCGAAGGGAAACCGAGUCUUAACUGGGCGUUAAGUUGCAGGGUAUAGACCCGAAACCCGGUGAUCUAGCCAUGGGCAGGUUGAAGGUUGGGUAACACUAACUGGAGGACCGAACCGACUAAUGUUGAAAAAUUAGCGGAUGACUUGUGGCUGGGGGUGAAAGGCCAAUCAAACCGGGAGAUAGCUGGUUCUCCCCGAAAGCUAUUUAGGUAGCGCCUCGUGAAUUCAUCUCCGGGGGUAGAGCACUGUUUCGGCAAGGGGGUCAUCCCGACUUACCAACCCGAUGCAAACUGCGAAUACCGGAGAAUGUUAUCACGGGAGACACACGGCGGGUGCUAACGUCCGUCGUGAAGAGGGAAACAACCCAGACCGCCAGCUAAGGUCCCAAAGUCAUGGUUAAGUGGGAAACGAUGUGGGAAGGCCCAGACAGCCAGGAUGUUGGCUUAGAAGCAGCCAUCAUUUAAAGAAAGCGUAAUAGCUCACUGGUCGAGUCGGCCUGCGCGGAAGAUGUAACGGGGCUAAACCAUGCACCGAAGCUGCGGCAGCGACACUAUGUGUUGUUGGGUAGGGGAGCGUUCUGUAAGCCUGUGAAGGUGGCCUGUGAGGGUUGCUGGAGGUAUCAGAAGUGCGAAUGCUGACAUAAGUAACGAUAAAGCGGGUGAAAAGCCCGCUCGCCGGAAGACCAAGGGUUCCUGUCCAACGUUAAUCGGGGCAGGGUGAGUCGACCCCUAAGGCGAGGCCGAAAGGCGUAGUCGAUGGGAAACAGGUUAAUAUUCCUGUACUUGGUGUUACUGCGAAGGGGGGACGGAGAAGGCUAUGUUGGCCGGGCGACGGUUGUCCCGGUUUAAGCGUGUAGGCUGGUUUUCCAGGCAAAUCCGGAAAAUCAAGGCUGAGGCGUGAUGACGAGGCACUACGGUGCUGAAGCAACAAAUGCCCUGCUUCCAGGAAAAGCCUCUAAGCAUCAGGUAACAUCAAAUCGUACCCCAAACCGACACAGGUGGUCAGGUAGAGAAUACCAAGGCGCUUGAGAGAACUCGGGUGAAGGAACUAGGCAAAAUGGUGCCGUAACUUCGGGAGAAGGCACGCUGAUAUGUAGGUGAAG
This 1171-nucleotide ribosomal RNA is filed under the name Escherichia coli. RNAcentral's name for it is "bacterial LSU rRNA". It matches the Rfam family "Bacterial large subunit ribosomal RNA", at positions 593 to 1767 of the family's 2925-position model. Lineage: Bacteria; Pseudomonadati; Pseudomonadota; Gammaproteobacteria; Enterobacterales; Enterobacteriaceae. The record is from RNAcentral.